Long non-coding RNA from Caretta caretta (loggerhead turtle), 3074 nucleotides. RefSeq lists it as uncharacterized. The record is from RefSeq and is a predicted model, not a curated record. NCBI's taxonomy places the organism in Eukaryota, Metazoa, Chordata, Testudines, Cheloniidae.
GAGUUGCAAACAUACAAGGACAUAGACAGACAUCAAAACCACCAAACAAGCAGAGCUAGGGGUACAAGAGCCCUUUCUGUGUCCACAUCAAUGCACCUAAGGAAACUAUAGCUACUGAAUGAACUAAUUCAUUAUGAAUGGUAAAUAAUGAUGGAAUGAAACUGUUUGAAGACAACUUUAAUUGGACUUAACACCAACUGUGUCUGCCAAACACCACUCACAGUAUCGGCUUCAUCAACUAAAUAUCAUGAGUACCCUGCCUGCAUCAGCAAACGGAGGUCUUUAUACAGUGAGCAAACUGAGGACUUUAUACAGUGAAGAACAGUAAAGUUAUCACAGACGGAACUGACUGUAGGAGAAGAGUUGAAAUCAAACUGAAAACCACGAAGCUACAUGUGAUGAAGAGGCUGUCAUUAGCAGGAAUACAUUGUGAGGGGAGAGGUAAAUGAAGAAAAAAGGGAAACACGGUGGAGUUCCCCAGAAGCCAUCUUUGACUCCUUCUCUGGCUGUCAUCACACAGAUGUCAACUGUGGAUAAAGAUAGCUCUAGAAAGAAACUGAUGGAGGAACUGCUACUUAGCAAGACUAGGGGAAAGAAUUUAGGGAAAUCAAACACUUCAUGGAUGAAGGAACAGAGGACAAGGUAUUAACUGUUCCCAGCAAAACUCAGUUACCCACAAGAAGAAAUGGUAUAUUUUCUGAAUUCAGACUGCUAAUUGUUUGCCUUAUUAAAAUAAGAGAUCUGAUCAGGAGACCAUUGGUAGAGACUUCUGAUGACUAAAUUCUUGUUAAAACUGGGUUGCGCCAUUGCCAGCAAGACUUCUCCCUCCUUUAAUACAUGGUAUGUUUAAACUGGUAGAAAGAUGUGUUUGAUAUUUUAAUAGAUUUAUUAGAAUUCCCUUUUUUUGCAUAAAUGUAACAUUUUAUAGUCAUUUCUCAAAGAGAUGGGCUACUGAUAAGUUUGGGGCAGCACGUCCCCCUGCCGCCUCUCAGAAGCAUAGAUGGACUUUUGUAUUCCAUUGUUUAACCUGAAUGCCACUACUGCAGUUAAAUUGAAGCAGCUGUGUGGUGUUAAGAUGCUGAGUUAUUUGGGUUUGUAUCUGUAUCUACUUUAUUCUUUUUUCUACAUAUUCAUAUUUUUGGGAGCACUGACAAUUUGGUGCUUUUGGAAUGCUUUCACCCCCACAGCGUUUCCUUUGUUACCACUGAAGUUUGUUGCUAGUGUGCUGUGCUUCUGCAGAAAUCAGCCAUGUUGAUAUGUUUGUUUAGUGUAGUAUGAAAAUAGUAAAUAAAAAGGAAUUAUAAAAAACUCUAAAGAUAUCUUAUUCCAUUAGAAUAUGCAUUAUAUAUUUGUUUCUUCUUUGAUGAAAUGAGAAUGCAUUAUUUAUAUAAUAAUUUGCCAGUCUUAUUAAUUGUUCUUGGUGUAGCAUACACUGGUUUUUGCAUCAAUGAAUGCAAAGAACAUAUGUGAAUGAAAUAUAAAAUAAAAAUGUGUAACUGAAUGAGACCAUUUUACUCUAACAGAAUUGCAAUUUACAAACUUACCAAUAAUUAAGGUGUAGCACUGAUCUGCCAGUUGCCAAUAAAGUUACUUAUCUAUUACUAAAUUAAAAACACAGCAUUAAUUUUAUUUAAAGUCACUGCAAUUCAUUUCUCCAAAUUCUACUGAAAACUCUGAGUUGAAACACUCAUCACCUUUUCUGUCAAAUGCUAACAAUAGUUCAUAAUUGGCUUACUUCACUAACCUCACGAAGGUCUUUGUCAGCAGGAAAGGUUAUCAGAGGAAUUUGCACAAUACCUUCCCCAUUACCUUAUUUAGUAAAUAAAUUUGAGAAGUGUUUGUAUAUGGAUUAUGUGAGACUAGUGCUUCUAUUCCUAGCUGCGCAAAGCCCUUCCAGUCCUCUUUUUCGCAAAGAGCCAAAGAGGAAGGGAAAAUAACCUAUCGUAUCAAUUAAUGUGGACUGCUUCCAGGUAAUCUAAACCAUCCUCAUGAAGCAACUUACUUUUUUAAAUUGGAAAGGAAAUUGGAAAGGCAAAAUUUCUCUCUCUAGCUCUAAGUAUGUUGCAAUAUAACACAUCUAUUCAGACUGCUAAUUUGCACUGCUUGAAAUAGAUAUUUUAUUAACAAAAUAAAUAUCCCAAACUGUAUCUUCCCCAGAUUAUUUGAAAUUUUAUUCCUCACAAAAAUAAACAGGUUUACUGAAUUAUAAGGAAUAUUCCAGGAUGGAUACCUUUUGCUCAGCUUUUACUCCAACAGCUACAGUGAAAGUCUCUGAUUUAAAGCACAUUUUAUUGUCCAAGGGGACACUAAAUAAUAUACAAUUAAGAUUUAUUAUGUUGCUUUUGCAUACUUGGUAUAACAUCCAUUUAUGUAAUAUAUUAAUAGUUACAUAAAAUAACAUUAAACAAUUUUUUACUUCAAUUUUCAUCUCAAAUAUUUUUCUUUUAAAAUAUGCUAUAACAAUAGAAUCAGGAAAUCAACCCUUUUCUAAUCUGCACCAUGUAUAAAAGGCUAAAUUCACUUCCAAGUGGAUGUGAAAAACUAUACUUUAAACUAAACAUCAAUCUCAGAAUUAGCAUGCAAAUCAAAAAUAUAUAUUGUAAUGUAGAUGGGUCUUCAAUGAAUAGUAGAUUUAAAUCUGCUAAUUUUAUGAGUCAAAUUAUAUUGCUAACCCAAGCACAAAUAAUAUAUCUGAAAUUCAUGUUGACCCUCAAACUAUGUUCAUGCUUAAAAUCAUUAUGGCAGGAAAAAUGUGGAAGGCAAGAAUAACACUGCUAUAAGUAUUUGUAUUAAAAAAAAGGCUACUCCAUAUGUCAUUCAAAGCCUAGCAGCUUUGGUUGAAAUCACAAUUCCUUUUGGUGACAUCCAUAUGGAAUAGAAAGUUUUAAUAUUACUCUUUGCUAAAAGUCAUGAUCUAAUUUCCUGUAUGUUACUAUCUGAAAUAAUUGUCAACUCUAUUUACUGCUUUAUUUCAAAAUAAAAAUGAUUGUUAUAGGUGAGUUACAUUGAUGAAAUCCCUUCACCUUUGUUCCUGAUGUAAAGGAAUCUGUAUUGGCUGCAUCACAUCAUUUAUA